GUACACGCUGUGACUAGCAUAUCAAUAAGCGGAGGAAAAGAAACUAACAAGGAUUCCCCUAGUAACGGUGAGUGAAGCGGGAAGAGCUCAAAUUUGAAAUCUUAAAGGGUUUCCCUUUACGAAUUGUAGUUUAAAGAAGUGUUUUCUGUUGAGGUUUUGGUAAAAGUUCUUUGGAAUAGGACAUCAUAGAGGGUGAGAAUCCCGUAUUUGACCUUUACUUUCAACUUUGUGAUACACUUUCAAAGAGUCGGAUUGUUUGGGAAUGCAGUCCAAAAUGGGUGGUAAAUUUCAUCUAAAGCUAAAUAUUGGCGAGAGACCGAUAGCGAACAAGUACCGUGAGGGAAAGAUGAAAAGAACUUUGAAAAGAGAGUUAAACAGUACGUGAAAUUGUCAAAAGGGAAGCGUUUGACACCAGUGUUGUUUUUCUGAAAAUCAAUUAAAGAACUGUUUAUGCUAAGUUGUUUAGACUUUAUCAGCCUAACUGUUUAGUUUUGAGCUUUUCUUUAAUGCACUUUUCAGUUAACAAGUCGACAUCAAUUUCUUUUGCUGUAAAAAAGCUUGAGGAAGGUGGCUUGAGAUUCGUCUUAAGUGUUUAUAGCCUCUUGCCUAUGCAGUCGGAGAGAUUGAGGUCUGCAGCGUAGAUCCUUCGGGGCUAAAUGCAUUUGUGCUAAGUUAUAGCAUUUUAUAGACAACUUGUUGACUAUGAUUUGUCUUGUAGCUUACUCGCUUAUGUUAUUUUACCUACGCUUAGGAUGUUGAGUCGUAGAGCACGCAG
Molecule: ribosomal RNA, 775 nt
Filed under: uncultured Neocallimastigales
Lineage: Eukaryota; Fungi; Neocallimastigomycota; Neocallimastigomycetes; Neocallimastigales
Description: partial large subunit ribosomal RNA
Rfam family: Eukaryotic large subunit ribosomal RNA
Source: RNAcentral